This 164-nucleotide ribosomal RNA is filed under the name Golovinomyces sordidus. RNAcentral describes it as "5.8S ribosomal RNA". It matches the Rfam family "5.8S ribosomal RNA". From Rfam's summary of the family: 5.8S ribosomal RNA (5.8S rRNA) is a component of the large subunit of the eukaryotic ribosome. It is transcribed by RNA polymerase I as part of the 45S precursor that also contains 18S and 28S rRNA. Functionally, it is thought that 5.8S rRNA may be involved in ribosome translocation. Lineage: Eukaryota; Fungi; Ascomycota; Leotiomycetes; Helotiales; Erysiphaceae. The record is from RNAcentral.
AAACUUUCAACAACGGAUCUCUUGGCUCUGGCAUCGAUGAAGAACGCAGCGAAAUGCGAUAAGUAAUGUGAAUUGCAGAAUUUAGUGAAUCAUCGAAUCUUUGAACGCACAUUGCGCCCCUUGGUAUUCCGAGGGGCAUGCCUGUUCGAGCGUCGUCACACCCC